UGAACACAUUGAAGACAGUUUUAUUGAACAAAAAGCACAAACAGAAGAGGUAGUGGCUAUAUAUACAUUGUCUUUGCCUUGACAAAAAAGACUCAAAAUAAAGUCUACAAUCAAACCAACCAAAUCUCUACCUUAAAAGACUCAUAUUUACAGUGCCCUUAAAAUAAAACCAUUCACCACAUUAUUACAAGAAAACCCUUCAUUCUUACCUUUUCCUUCCAACUAGAUCUAUGAAAUCUCCAUUGGAAAAUUGUGAUACCCUAAACCUGUGGCUGAAACAGCUGUUGGCCCCUCCACCUUGAAUUUUGCUCCCCAGAUCUCUUCUUCAGGAGCAGGUUCAGCAGUAAUCUUGUUCUUCGGAUUCUCAUAGCAUCUCAAUUCUCCCACCGCAGUAGAGAAGAAACAUCCUUGAGGAAACGAAGCGAGGGAUUUACCACAAGCACCUUUAAGAAGACCAGCAUCAUCAGCGAAGGCGACGUAUCCAUCGGCAGUUAUUCCCCAAUACAAAGGCACUUUCCCUAUCUGAUCAGAGGCGACGAAGAGAGUGGAAGUGGAGUUAUCGAAGAGGAUGAAGGCGAAACUGCCGCUGAGAUGGCCGACGACAUGGUCGGCUGGAUAUGGAGCUCGAUCACGAAGAGCUUUGUAAGCUUCGAUUACUAAGACAACUUCAUUGGUGGAUUUAGGAAGGCCGUAUUGGGUUCUCAAGCUCCCUAAAUUGUCUAGGGCUCCUUCGAACAAACAGAAUAUCUCCUCCUUCACUGCCAUUGAUCUGGGGUGCAAGGGAGAUUGGUUGUGGUGAGUAAAGGCGAGAUGGACAUGAUCGCCGAUCUGGAGGGAGACGGCGGCGGCGUUGGAAUCAGCGAACCGCUUCGCCAGUGCUGUCGACGAUAUCUUGGGCGACGGAGUCCGGCAGCCGGCGGCCACCAGUUCGUCCGGCGGCGACAUGAUGGAACUGCUAAAUAUCCCCAACAUAUUUGCCUGGAUCUGAGAAAUUGAACUUCAAAGAAGAAGAAGAAAAAUAAAAUUUGAUUUUGUAAUUUUGAUGUGAAAAAAUUAAUAAAAGAAAAAAGAAAGAUCGAAGCUCUGAAG
Molecule: unclassified non-coding RNA, 1089 nt
Filed under: Hevea brasiliensis (rubber tree)
Lineage: Eukaryota; Viridiplantae; Streptophyta; Magnoliopsida; Malpighiales; Euphorbiaceae
Source: RNAcentral